GUCUGCAUGGAGCCGGCCUUGAAAUACCACCCUUUAAUGUUUGAUGUUCUAACGUGGACCCGUAAUCCGGGUUGCGGACAGUGUCUGGUGGGUAGUUUGACUGGGGCGGUCUCCUCCUAAAGAGUAACGGAGGAGCACGAAGGUUGGCUAAUCCUGGUCGGACAUCAGGAGGUUAGUGCAAUGGCAUAAGCCAGCUUGACUGCGAGCGUGACGGCGCGAGCAGGUGCGAAAGCAGGUCAUAGUGAUCCGGUGGUUCUGAAUGGAAGGGCCAUCGCUCAACGGAUAAAAGGUACUCCGGGGAUAACAGGCUGAUACCGCCCAAGAGUUCAUAUCGACGGCGGUGUUUGGCACCUCGAUGUCGGCUCAUCACAUCCUGGGGCUGAAGUAGGUCCCAAGGGUAUGGCUGUUCGCCAUUUAAAGUGGUACGCGAGCUGGGUUUAGAACGUCGUGAGACAGUUCGGUCCCUAUCUGCCGUGGGCGCUGGAGAACUGAGGGGGGCUGCUCCUAGUACGAGAGGACCGGAGUGGACGCAUCACUGGUGUUCGGGUUGUCAUGCCAAUGGCACUGCCCGGUAGCUAAAUGCGGAAGAGAUAAGUGCUGA
RNAcentral lists this ribosomal RNA (601 nucleotides) under Salmonella enterica subsp. enterica serovar Stanley. Its description in RNAcentral is "partial 23S ribosomal RNA". It matches the Rfam family "Bacterial large subunit ribosomal RNA", at positions 2174 to 2774 of the family's 2925-position model. The record is from RNAcentral. Lineage: Bacteria; Pseudomonadati; Pseudomonadota; Gammaproteobacteria; Enterobacterales; Enterobacteriaceae.